UGGGGAAUAUUGCACAAUGGGCGCAAGCCUGAUGCAGCCAUGCCGCGUGUAUGAAGAAGGCCUUCGGGUUGUAAAGUACUUUCAGCGGGGAGGAAGGUGUUGUGGUUAAUAACCUCAGCAAUUGACGUUACCCGCAGAAGAAGCACCGGCUAACUCCGUGCCAGCAGCCGCGGUAAUACGGAGGGUGCAAGCGUUAAUCGGAAUUACUGGGCGUAAAGCGCACGCAGGCGGUCUGUCAAGUCGGAUGUGAAAGCCCCGGGCUCAACCUGGGAACUGCAUCCGAAACUGGCAGGCUUGAGUCGUGUAGAGGGGGGUAGAAUUCCAGGUGUAGCGGUGAAAUGCGUAGAGAUCUGGAGGAAUACCGGUGGCGAAGGCGGCCCCCUGGACAAAGACUGACGCUCAGGUGCGAAAGCGUGGGGAGCAAACA
RNAcentral lists this ribosomal RNA (427 nucleotides) under uncultured bacterium. Its description in RNAcentral is "partial 16S ribosomal RNA". It matches the Rfam family "Bacterial small subunit ribosomal RNA", at positions 355 to 774 of the family's 1533-position model. The record is from RNAcentral.